AUUUUAGCACUCACCAGUUGAAAUCUGAAAGCGUGAAUCUAGUUUUUGCCUAAGGAGAGGAAAAGUAAAUAAUAACAUAGCUAGCAACAUGUCUACUAUUUCAUUUUUUUUUUGCGUUUCUAAACCAAUCAGAAGGCUCUAUUUCGUACCCACUCGCAGAAAGAGCGCGUUGAGCGAGUGAGAGCGAUUCUGUGGGUAAACCCCUUUCCAAUUCAUGCCUUUUUGUAUCGACGCAUUUCUCUCCAAAUUCUCUAUCGCGUGACUUUUUUUGUU
RNAcentral lists this small RNA (273 nucleotides) under Arabidopsis thaliana (thale cress). Its description in RNAcentral is "ATSL242800". Lineage: Eukaryota; Viridiplantae; Streptophyta; Magnoliopsida; Brassicales; Brassicaceae. The record is from RNAcentral.